CCGAGUAUAAUUUCAGUAAUCAGUUUCUCUAGUUCCUUAGUAGAGAAGUUUCUGUCAAUGUGUACAGCACCAGAAACCAAGAGGAGGUGGCAGCAGAGUGUUCUCUGCUGAACAUGAGGUUGGCUCUUGGUGUUGCUUUGCUGCAACUGUCAUUUGCCAUUGAUGAUAGUUCUUCUCUUCCUCCAGGGGAGAGGGAGAGAAUGCAGUCUGAGUGGG
This 216-nucleotide small nucleolar RNA is filed under the name Aotus nancymaae (Ma's night monkey). RNAcentral describes it as "Small nucleolar RNA U3 (ENSANAG00000004928.1)". It matches the Rfam family "Small nucleolar RNA U3". Rfam says of the family: Small nucleolar RNAs (snoRNAs) are involved in the processing and modification of rRNA in the nucleolus. The record is from Rfam by way of RNAcentral. Lineage: Eukaryota; Metazoa; Chordata; Mammalia; Primates; Aotidae.